AUGGACCAAUCCAUCCCUUUUUCCCGUGCAUAUGCAUCGGACUCGGAUGACGAUGGUCCUGAUGAAGAAGUUGAUGAGGAGGGGUUCACACCGAAGUAGGCCGAAGCAUUCAAGAAGGUAUUCGGGCGGGAUCACAAGACACCAUUGUUCAAGGAUCUUAAUCUCGUGGAUGAAGCCGUUGUGGAUGGUGGAAAAUGCAUAUCUCUUGGAGCUAGGCCAAGUUCUCAC
Molecule: ribosomal RNA, 228 nt
Filed under: Triticum aestivum (bread wheat)
Lineage: Eukaryota; Viridiplantae; Streptophyta; Magnoliopsida; Poales; Poaceae
Description: partial small subunit ribosomal RNA
Source: RNAcentral